This 253-nucleotide ribosomal RNA is filed under the name uncultured bacterium. RNAcentral's name for it is "partial 16S ribosomal RNA". It matches the Rfam family "Bacterial small subunit ribosomal RNA", at positions 524 to 776 of the family's 1533-position model. The record is from RNAcentral.
UACGUAGGGUGCGAGCGUUGUCCGGAAUUAUUGGGCGUAAAGAGCUCGUAGGCGGUCUGUCGCGUCGGAUGUGAAAAUCUACAGCUUAACUGUGGGCUUGCUUUCGAUACGGGCAGACUUGAGGCAUGCAGGGGAGAACGGAAUUCCUGGUGUAGCGGUGAAAUGCGCAGAUAUCAGGAGGAACACCGGUGGCGAAGGCGGUUCUCUGGGCAUGUUCUGACGCUGAGGAGCGAAAGUGUGGGGAGCGAACAGG